This is a long non-coding RNA of Motacilla alba alba, 3856 nucleotides long. RefSeq lists it as uncharacterized. NCBI's taxonomy places the organism in Eukaryota, Metazoa, Chordata, Aves, Passeriformes, Motacillidae. The record is from RefSeq and is a predicted model, not a curated record. The transcript has 3 exons.
GCGGCCGGGGGGUCCCCGCGCGCGCCGGGGCCGUCCCUGCGGUUGGCGGAGCGCCGCGGCCCUGAGGGGACCGCGCGGGCGGGCGGAGCGGGAGGCCUGGCGCGGUCCGAGCCCGGCAGGACGCGGAGCUCUCCCGCCGGCACCGCGGGGCCGCCUCCGGGCCCGGGCUGUAGAACUGGGAGGUGUUUACCGCAGAAAAGGUGUUUGUGUUGGUGGCGGAGCGAGGGGAAGGGAAGGAACCGCUGCGUUGCCCUGUUCGCCUUCCAGCCGGGCCAGGUUGAUGAGCCUACAAAUGCUAGCCAGACGUCCCUGUGGAAACAAACCAAAGGAAACUCUCAGGAAUCCAGGAUGCUUACUGGAAUAAACAUAGAAAUGUGUGCUGCUACAGCAAAGAGGGCAAAUCUUUUCGUGGACAGAUCAAUAGCAACCAGCAGACAGAUUUGCUGUUCCCACGGACUGUGAACCUCUCAGCUUUUUGUCCUACACUGGAUGAAAAUGAACACAUGUCAUUUGUUCCUAUUUUUAGCACCUGCAUUCUCGAUCCAGUAUAAGGAGAGGCCCGAUCAAAGGAAUUGUCUCAAUGUCACCUGGCACAAUCAUCUAAAAAUUGUUUUCGUUGCAAAGGGAAGGGUAAGUAUGUCCUUGUGAUCCAUGAAAACACAGGUUAUUCACUUCCAUUUUACAGCACUCAUUUUCACCAGAAUUCAACAGCUGGUGUGCACAGCCCUAAACACAGCCAGUUUGGGAAACAGCAUCACUACCCACUGCACAUCCCCAGCUCCCCAUACUCUGUGUGUUAAAUAUUGCAUGCCAAUAGGAAACCUGCUGCAAGUCUCCUGGAGCUGCUCUAAAACCUUUGCUCGGAACUCUGAAAGAAACGUCCCCAUUCACAGUGCUUUGGUAGAGACGUUGCAUAUUUCAUCCCUCUUCAAAUAUUUAUAUAUGUACUUCACGUUUGAGUAAAGCUGUCCUUUUCAUCGGAGCAGGAAGAUUACAGCAAAGGGAGGAAUUACCCUAAAUUGGCAAACAUCAUUGUCUAUUAAGUAACACAAGGGUUUGAAAGAAGAAUUGAGUGUCUGGCAGCCAGGAGCUUGGCUCCACUGCACAGGAGAUUUCAUAAUUAUAUGUUUUGAGAUCAACUGUAAAAAAAAAUUAAAACAAAAAAACAAAAAUCAACUAGAGCAGUGUAUCCCGUGACACUGGGUGCUAAGGAGCCUGGAAAAACACGUUGAAGCUAAAAGAGUUGGUUAAUGCUGAAAUGGUCUGCUGCCUUUGGGGGAAAGACAUUUCUCCCUCCUCCCAGUCCCACACCCAGGCCCUGCCUGCUCCUCUGUAAUCAGAGCUGGUUACGGGGCUGCCUUUGGAGACCUUCACAGGGGAGGUUUUUUAAUCCAAAUAUAGUCCUUGAUCCACUCAGCAGCCAGGCCUCAACAGUUGUCUGGAAAAUACCUGGAACCAACACUGGCAUUGCCCACAGCCUGACUGAGAUGCUCCUGCUGUGCUCAGAGCAGCUGUGCCCUAAAAACCCCAGGGGAGGUGAGGUCCUGGGUGGAGCAGGACAGCAGGGACCGCAUCUCAGCACAGAAGUGCAACCUCUCCUGGAUGGCUGCUUGUACUGGGGUGAAACCAAGGGAGGCCUGGAAAAUGUGUGGUUAAAGUUAUUGUGCAGUUUGCUUCCAUGGAAGAAGAAGCAGGGUUUUCAUGUUUCAGGUCUGUAAAUCCAAGUUUUAUGGCAGACACAGCAGUAAAUCAUUGAACCUUUUUUUUCCCCUCCUGAGAAAGACAGCAAAUCCUUUUGACUGCAGCAGCUUUAAUUUGGUCUGAAUCUAGAAUAACAUUUUUGCCUGUGUAUUCAAAAGCACCACCUUCACUCAACAUCAUGAUGCAAAUAAUGAGAUGCAGUGUACAGCCCUUGUCAGGGAGUUGCAGAGCACCAAACAUUUCCCAGGAGCUCGGUACUGGGAAGUCUCAGGGCAUUGGUGUCACAUCACUUGGUGACACAAAUUCUUGUUGCCCGAGUUUUUCCAUAGGUAGCAUGGCACGUCCCAGAUGGCCAGAAAAGAAAAUCUUUUAAAAAGAUUCAACUCUUAUUUUUUAUCAAGUUCAAAAUAGUUUCAGGGUUUUUUUUUUUUUGUCUUGUGUGGGUUUUGUUUUUUUUGUUUUGUUUUUGUUGCUGUUGUUUGUUUUUUGGGAGGGUUUUUUUGUUUUUUGUUUGGUUUUUUUUCUCCCCCAGGCUAUUUAUUCACAGUAUUUGGUGCACUGUAAUAAAAGCUGACCUGGGGACUGCUACGUUCACAUAAAUGGAAGCGAGCUAUGUACUUUGGCCUUUUCUCUAGCAUUUGCCUGUUAAUUAAUAAUUGGUACAUUGCCAGGAGCAAAGAAGUAGGAAUGAGAUUCAGGUUAUAAAAUCUUCAAGGUUAUCUCGCUUUCCCUGCAGCAAAGCAAGAGCGAGGGGGGCGGGACAGAGCCAAGGUGCUGAGAGAAGGGGACGGGCUGUGGGCCACUCGCCCCAGGGGCCAUGUGCUGCAUUCCCAGGGGACCCACAUCCCAGCACUCCUGGAGCUGCCGGCACGGCACGUCCUCCCGCCGCGACGGGAGAGCAGCAGGCCCAGGGAUUUCCCUGUCUGUUGCCGGGAUUCCUGGGUACCUGCCUGAAGCCACCCUUGGGAACGCGGCUGGCUUGUCCCCCACUGCAGCUCAGCCAAGGGGACCAGCGCCCAGCUGGGCAGAAACAUGGAGCAGCCGCUUUCCCUGGGUCUGGCAUGACUGGCAGUCGCUGACAUUAUGGAAGCGCUUGUCCCAGAGCCCUCACACCGUGUCCAGAACGUGCACCCACAUCUCUCAGCCCUUGCCCCAAAAUGUGCACCCACGUCCCCGUGCUGAAAAGGCUGCAGGCACACAGGUACUGAAACACCUCCUCCCCACCUGUGAACACUCUCUUGGCUCUCCGGAAUCAAAACCCUUCCAUAAGGCCAGGACAGCUGGAAUUAAUUUUCUGAGCUGGACUAAAGCUUAUCCAGGAUACCGAUCUGCCUGAUUUUUGUGGACAGAUUGGUGUGGCUAGAGGACACCUGGAGAGCACAGGACAAACCCGAGCAUGCUUCUGUGACCAAAGGGGAUAAGAACAGGAGAUAAGAGACUAAAAUUUAAAUAAUGACUAGAAACUAAGGAUUUCUCCUGUGGCAUGCAAGCUCCUCAACUGCAGUAAGAAAAAAAAUUUAAAGCAAAGGUGACAUGCAAUUCAAGCUGGAGCAUCUCCUUUCCUCCAGGAAUGAGCCUGCUUUUUGCCACCCAAAUGUUUGAGCCUGGAAUUCAGACAAGCGAAGAGCUUUUCCCAGGGUAGGCAGGGUCUGUCAGCAAGGCUUGCCAGCAACACAAGCACAACAUUUCAGUUGUCUCCUCACACAGUCAUUUCCCCACCUUCUGCCCCUGCCACACGCAGGCCAGCCAGCACAGCAAGUGCUACAGAGGUCUUUUGCUCCACUGCCCUUUGCUUUUGUACCUUGGUGAGAUGGGGGAGCUGUGCCUGGCAGGUUCAUCUUUGGCAAAACCACUCAAGUCAAAGAGAUUGGCACAUGUGCUUCAGAAGACCACGGUUUUGGUUUUUUUCCUCUGGAGCAUUGCAGCUUUGCUCUUGCAGGCACGGCAGAAGAGGACAGAGCCUGUGGAAAGGAAGUUGCCCCUGUUGAGCUGUAUGCUGCCAUUUGCAAGCUGUGGGCAGAGCUGCACUGUGCUGGUACUGAUUUGCAUUUGCCAAGAAUAAUUACUCCUGAGCUGCUUGGAUUCAAAUAGUUUCCCUGCUCUGGAAGGACGUACCUGCCUAUUUCAGACACAGGCUGCAGUAACUAACACUCUU